Molecule: transfer RNA, 75 nt
Filed under: Candidatus Gottesmanbacteria bacterium RIFCSPLOWO2_01_FULL_48_11
Lineage: Bacteria; Candidatus Gottesmaniibacteriota
Description: tRNA-Met
Rfam family: tRNA
About the family: Transfer RNA (tRNA) molecules are approximately 80 nucleotides in length.
Source: RNAcentral
GGCAGGGUAGCUCAAUGGUUGAGCAGCAUCUUCAUAAGGUGACGGUUGUGGGUUCGAUCCCCACCCCUGCCACAA